This 460-nucleotide ribosomal RNA is filed under the name Veillonella parvula. RNAcentral's name for it is "bacterial SSU rRNA". It matches the Rfam family "Bacterial small subunit ribosomal RNA", at positions 28 to 465 of the family's 1533-position model. Lineage: Bacteria; Bacillati; Bacillota; Negativicutes; Veillonellales; Veillonellaceae. The record is from RNAcentral.
GACGAACGCUGGCGGCGUGCUUAACACAUGCAAGUCGAACGAAGAGCGAUGGAAGCUUGCUUCUAUCAAUCUUAGUGGCGAACGGGUGAGUAACGCGUAAUCAACCUGCCCUUCAGAGGGGGACAACAGUUGGAAACGACUGCUAAUACCGCAUACGAUCUAAUCUCGGCAUCGAGGAUAGAUGAAAGGUGGCCUCUACAUGUAAGCUAUCACUGAAGGAGGGGAUUGCGUCUGAUUAGCUAGUUGGAGGGGUAACGGCCCACCAAGGCGAUGAUCAGUAGCCGGUCUGAGAGGAUGAACGGCCACAUUGGGACUGAGACACGGCCCAGACUCCUACGGGAGGCAGCAGUGGGGAAUCUUCCGCAAUGGACGAAAGUCUGACGGAGCAACGCCGCGUGAGUGAUGACGGCCUUCGGGUUGUGAAGCUCUGUUAAUCGGGACGAAAGGCCUUCUUGCGAAU